UGGUAGGUCAUCCCUCGCACGGGACGAUUCUUUUUCUCUCCCUCUCUCACUUUCCACCCCAACCUAGGGUUGCCGCCGCCGCCGCCGCCGCCCCUGCCCCCAUCGCUUCUCUAACGCUGCCCAUCAGAGGACAGCCGUUUCUCUGCUGCUUCUUCUCUCGCCCUGCUCCAUCCCGACCAGCGCCACUGCCGCCCCUUUUCUCUCGUCUACGGGCGAGCCGUCACCGGUGAGGUGAGACGUCGUCUCCCGGCCAGGACAUAGCGGCAGAGAGGAGCAAGGAAGCAGCAGGGGAAGUCCAAUUGGAAAAGUUAGUGGCGCUACAGAUUUCUUGCUCCCUUGGUCGACGGGGGAUGCGGUUUUCGUUGGUGGUGGUAGGAGGGGAACAUGUGUGGCGGUGACGGGAGGACCAUCAGAAGAAGAGGAGGAUAGGGAACAGGGAACGAGGCCAAGCGGGGGAGGAGAGACAUGAAGCAUUCAUUUGCUGCCGUUUCUCCACGUAAUCUGAUUCUCCGUCAUGUUUGCCGGGCACUUCUAUUAUCUCCACCCCGUCCCACUGAGGUGCCUCCAUCGCUAUCAAUCUCACAUCGAGAUGUCGACGGCAAUUCCAUCAUACCCGGUGUGAAGAAAUAAGUAAGAUGGACUGACCUAGCCCAUUAAAGCACUGGCCCGUCUAUCCUAUUCUUCUCUUAUUAAAACCUGCCGUGUGUGCACAGUCGACAAAAUUUAUAGGGAUCCUCCUCGCACUGCCUCUCUCCCUCUUCCUCUUCCUUGCUGCACCCAUGGCAACAAGCCAGCAAAGCUCGAUUUCACGCUGGAGAAUCUCAACCCCUUGACGGAAUCGAUCGAUUUCUCGUCCGAAUGGUCAAAUCCUUAUCAGGGAGGUCAAAUCCUUGCCAGGGAGAUUGACGGAGAAUGCUGAUUUCUUACUGGUCGCCUUUUUGAGCACCUAGGGCCAGUGCGACAUUAUGCCAGCGUGCCAACGCCCAGCGUUUAAGCACACCUAGGCAAGCGCCUAACAACACUUUUUUAACUAUGGUGCGGACAAUCUAAUACCAAAGGACUUGGCCCUCAAAAUUGCAACCCAGAUUAGAGCUGGCGAAUGAUUUGCAGUUUAUGUAGUCAUACCAAUGUGUCCUGAAGGAAUCCCUACCUCAGCCUCUGAGCAAGAUUUUUUUCUUUUAGGCACAUUCGGGCAUGAUGGGAUUCCGGUCCACUCUUCUGGCAAGACCCUCCUGGUGAACGAGCGUGGCGUCCUCAUGGAGAGCCUGCAAAUGGGGGAAUUUUACUACCUAAUUCUUCGCUUCUUGUGCUGCAUCCAACAAGAUGAAUGAUUCUAAUGAACAAGUACUCAUAUCGAUCUAAUUAAUCAGCUCCAUAUCUAGCCGGUUAGAAGAAUGAGGGUUUCUGUAUAUGUAUGAAAGGAAACCAAGGAAGCUUGCAUUUCUGAUCAAGCUUCAAUGAGUGCUAGUGUUCUUGCUUUCCAUGUUGAUGUAUGUUACCUCUGGAUGAAUCGUCUUCCUGCCGAGAGUUUCCUCUUUCAGUGUUGGAGAUGUUGUAGCAGCUUACAAUUACUAGGAGAAAUAAGUUACCAAAUCAUUCUGGUUGCAUCUAAUUGGUUUUAGGAAUGUCCUGAUCAGUUUCACGUGCAUGUGUGAACAUAUACGUAAAUAAAA
Molecule: long non-coding RNA, 1673 nt
Organism: Triticum aestivum (bread wheat)
Lineage: Eukaryota; Viridiplantae; Streptophyta; Magnoliopsida; Poales; Poaceae
Exons: 5
Source: RefSeq, a predicted model, not a curated record